UCAGGAUGGACGCUUCAGUCCAGCCAGGCCCUUUUCGGACCCUGCUCCAGUUUCUUUAUACGGGACAACUGGAUGAAAAGGAAAAGGAUUUGGUGGGCCUGGCUCAGAUCGCGGAGGUCCUAGAGAUGUUCGAUUUGAGGAUGAUGGUGGAAAACAUCAUGAACAAGGAAGCCUUCAUGAACCAGGAGAUUACGAAAGCCUUUCACGUAAGGAAAGCCAAUCGGAUAAAAGAGUGUCUCAGCAAGGGAACGUUCUCGGGUGUAUCUCCCGAACAUAAACAAGAUAUCAAUGCAAGCAGUAUUGGAUUAUCUCUAUACCAAGCAGUUGUCUCCUAACUUGGAUCUGGACCCGCUGGAAUUAAUUGCCUUGGCAAACAGAUUUUGCCUGCCACACUUGGUUGCACUUGCAGAUUUGUUCAGUUGGGAAGCUGAAGCAGGUCUGCAUAGGAUAUAUGAACUUAAAUGCCUCUCUCUGG
RNAcentral lists this small RNA (475 nucleotides) under Pan troglodytes (chimpanzee). RNAcentral describes it as "processed transcript". The record is from RNAcentral. Lineage: Eukaryota; Metazoa; Chordata; Mammalia; Primates; Hominidae.